Molecule: ribosomal RNA, 406 nt
Filed under: uncultured bacterium
Lineage: Bacteria
Description: partial 16S ribosomal RNA
Rfam family: Bacterial small subunit ribosomal RNA
Source: RNAcentral
AUUGAACGCUGGCGGCAUGCCUAACACAUGCAAGUCGAACGAGUGGCGGACGGGUGAGAAAUGGCUGGGAAACUGCCCGAUGGAGGGGGAUAAUUACUGGAAACGGUAGCUAAUACCGCAUACCAUCGGAUGUGCCCAGAUGGGAUUAGCUAGUAGGUGGGGGAAAGGCUCACCGGGGCGACGAUCCCUAGCUGGUCUGAGAGGAUGACCACCCACCCGGGAACGUGGACGGGGACCAGACUCCUACGGGAGGCAGCAGUGGGGAAUAGGGGACAAUGGGCGGAAGCCUGAUGCAGCCAUGCCGCGUGUAUGACGAAGGCCUUCGGGUUGUAAAGUCCUUUCAGCGGGGAGACGUUACCCGCAGAAGAAGCACCGGCUAACUCCGUGCCAGCAGCCGCGGUAAUUC